GAUGAAGAACGUAGCGAAAUGCGAUAAGUAAUGUGAAUUGCAGAAUUCAGUGAAUCAUCGAGUCUUUGAACGCACAUUGCGCCCCCUGGUAUUCCGGGGGGCAUGCCUGUCCGAGCGUCAUUGCUGCCCUCAAGCACGGCUUGUGUGUUGGGCCUCCGUCCUCCUCCCGGGGGACGGGCCCGAAAGGCAGCGGCGGCACCGCGUCCGGUCCUCGAGCGUAUGGGGCUUCGUCACCCGCUCUUGUAGGCCCGGCCGGCGCUUGCCGACACAUCAAUCUUUUUUCCAGGUUGACCUCGGCUCAGGUAGGGAUACCCGCUGAACUUAAGCAUAUCAAUAAGCGGAGGA
Molecule: unclassified non-coding RNA, 345 nt
Filed under: soil metagenome
Description: partial contains 5.8S ribosomal RNA, internal transcribed spacer 2, and large subunit ribosomal RNA
Rfam family: 5.8S ribosomal RNA (bases 1-120)
Source: RNAcentral